Molecule: ribosomal RNA, 468 nt
Filed under: uncultured bacterium
Lineage: Bacteria
Description: partial 16S ribosomal RNA
Rfam family: Bacterial small subunit ribosomal RNA
Source: RNAcentral
GACGAACGCUGGCGGCGUGCUUAACACAUGCAAGUCGAACGGAAAGGCCCUGCUUUUUUGGGGUUCUCGAGUGGCGAUCGGGUGCGUAACACGUGAGUAACCUGCUCUUGUUUUUGGUAUAACUUCAGGUAACUGGGGCUACUACCGUACAGGAUCUCCUGUUGCAUUGUGGGGGUUGGAAAUUCUCGGCGGGUGGGGAUGGACUCGCGGCUUAUCAGCUUGUUGGUUGGGUAGUGGCUUACCCAGGCUUUGACGGGUAGCCGGCAUGAGAGGGUGACCGGGCACAUUGGGACUGAGAGACGGAGCAGACGCGUACGGGAGGCAGUAGUGGGGAAUAUUGCACAAUGGGAGGGAGCCGGAUGCAGCAACGCCGCGUGCGGGAUGACGGCCUUCGGGUUGUAAACAGCAUUAGCCUGUGACGAAGCGUGAGUGACGGUAAUGGGUGAAGAAGCACCGGCUAACUACGUG